GCCUUCUGAAUAAAGCGUUUGGGCGUCCCAUGCGCCCGCCCGCCAGAUUUGCCGGGAAUUUCUACACCAAAAAUUUUUUUUUUGUUUUUGUUUGUUUCUUUGUUAUUGUAGGUCCGGGAUGAUGAGAGAGGCAGGUGGUGCUGAGAGAGACACCUUUCGCAUCUCAGUCAGAAGAGGAGUAACUGCCUCUAGAGGACUGACGGUUACCUACAUAACCUUGUUAUGAGGUUGGGUGGGAGAGCCGGGCAUAGUGUGGAGACGUCCAAGCUCGUCACCGCUGAGGGAUGCCCUUGGAUGACCCCCCAAUUCUGGGGGGACAUGGAUUUGGAAGGAGAAGUUGACGACACGCGGGAGGAGAGUUUGGAUGUAAAUUUGUGUAGGAGACAGGAGAGAUACUUUCUCCUUGAGGUUUACCAGAAGCAGGCAAUACGGCAGAGCGCGUAUAGUAGUGGAAGGUGUCGGAUUAUGGGGUAAGCGAGGCAGCGGUUCUUAGUUGAUGUGAAGCCCCGGGUCACCGGGGAGGUCAUGGAAACUGGAGACUGAGUGCAGAGAGGAGAGUGGAUUCCAUGUGAGCGUGAAAGCGUAGAUAAUGGAGGACACCAGUGGCGAGGGGGCUCUCUGGUCUGUAACUGACGCUGAGGUCGAAAGCGUGGGAGCAAACAGGAUUAGAUACCCUGGUAGUCCACGCCGUAAACGAUGAGUGCUAAGUGUUGGAGGGUUUCCGCCCUUCAGUGCUGCAGCUAACGCAUUAAGCACUCCGCCUGGGGAGUACGACCGCAAGGUUGAAACUCAAAGGAAUUGACGGGGGCCCGCACAAGCGGUGGAGCAUGUGGUUUAAUUCGAAGCAACGCGAAGAACCUUACCAGGUCUUGACAUCCUUUGACCACUCUAGAGAUAGAGCUUCCCCUUCGGGGGCAAAGUGACAGGUGGUGCAUGGUUGUCGUCAGCUCGUGUCGUGAGAUGUUGGGUUAAGUCCCGCAACGAGCGCAACCCUUAUUGUUAGUUGCCAUCAUUCAGUUGGGCACUCUAGCAAGACUGCCGGUGACAAACCGGAGGAAGGUGGGGAUGACGUCAAAUCAUCAUGCCCCUUAUGACCUGGGCUACACACGUGCUACAAUGGGAAGUACAACGAGUCGCGAAGUCGCGAGGCUAAGCUAAUCUCUUAAAGCUUCUCUCAGUUCGGAUUGUAGGCUGCAACUCGCCUACAUGAAGCCGGAAUCGCUAGUAAUCGCGGAUCAGCACGCCGCGGUGAAUACGUUCCCGGGCCUUGUACACACCGCCCGUCACACCACGAGAGUUUGUAACACCCGAAGUCGGUGAAGGUAACCUUUUUGGAGCCAGCCGCCUUAAGGUGGGAUAAAUGAUUGGGGUGAAGUCGAACAAACGUUGUACA
This 1393-nucleotide ribosomal RNA is filed under the name Enterococcus durans. Its description in RNAcentral is "partial 16S ribosomal RNA". The stretch from base 400 to 1393 matches the Rfam family "Bacterial small subunit ribosomal RNA". Lineage: Bacteria; Bacillati; Bacillota; Bacilli; Lactobacillales; Enterococcaceae. The record is from RNAcentral.